RNAcentral lists this ribosomal RNA (610 nucleotides) under Bacillus safensis. RNAcentral describes it as "bacterial SSU rRNA". It matches the Rfam family "Bacterial small subunit ribosomal RNA", at positions 723 to 1333 of the family's 1533-position model. The record is from RNAcentral. Lineage: Bacteria; Bacillati; Bacillota; Bacilli; Caryophanales; Bacillaceae.
GACUCUCUGGUCUGUAACUGACGCUGAGGAGCGAAAGCGUGGGGAGCGAACAGGAUUAGAUACCCUGGUAGUCCACGCCGUAAACGAUGAGUGCUAAGUGUUAGGGGGUUUCCGCCCCUUAGUGCUGCAGCUAACGCAUUAAGCACUCCGCCUGGGGAGUACGGUCGCAAGACUGAAACUCAAAGGAAUUGACGGGGGCCCGCACAAGCGGUGGAGCAUGUGGUUUAAUUCGAAGCAACGCGAAGAACCUUACCAGGUCUUGACAUCCUCUGACAACCCUAGAGAUAGGGCUUUCCCUUCGGGGACAGAGUGACAGGUGGUGCAUGGUUGUCGUCAGCUCGUGUCGUGAGAUGUUGGGUUAAGUCCCGCAACGAGCGCAACCCUUGAUCUUAGUUGCCAGCAUUCAGUUGGGCACUCUAAGGUGACUGCCGGUGACAAACCGGAGGAAGGUGGGGAUGACGUCAAAUCAUCAUGCCCCUUAUGACCUGGGCUACACACGUGCUACAAUGGACAGAACAAAGGGCUGCAAGACCGCAAGGUUUAGCCAAUCCCAUAAAUCUGUUCUCAGUUCGGAUCGCAGUCUGCAACUCGACUGCGUGAAGCUGGAAUC